UACAGAGGUCCCAAGCGUUGUUCGGAUUCAUUGGGCGUAAAGGGUGCGUAGGCGGCCGUACAGGUCAGCUGUGAAAACUCGAGGCUCAACCUCGAGACGUCGGUUGAAACCGUACGGCUAGAGUCCGGAAGAGGAGAGUGGAAUUCCCGGUGUAGCGGUGAAAUGCGCAGAUAUCGGGAAGAACACCCGUGGCGAAGGCGGCUCUCUGGGACGGUACUGACGCUGAGACGCGAAAGCGUGGGGAGCGAACAGG
This 253-nucleotide ribosomal RNA is filed under the name uncultured bacterium. RNAcentral describes it as "partial 16S ribosomal RNA". It matches the Rfam family "Bacterial small subunit ribosomal RNA", at positions 524 to 776 of the family's 1533-position model. The record is from RNAcentral.